Molecule: ribosomal RNA, 218 nt
Filed under: Clostridioides difficile
Lineage: Bacteria; Bacillati; Bacillota; Clostridia; Peptostreptococcales; Peptostreptococcaceae
Description: partial 16S ribosomal RNA
Rfam family: Bacterial small subunit ribosomal RNA
Source: RNAcentral
UUAUUUGAGAGUUUGAUCCUGGCUCAGGAUGAACGCUGGCGGCGUGCCUAACACAUGCAAGUUGAGCGAUUUACUUCGGUAAAGAGCGGCGGACGGGUGAGUAACGCGUGGGUAACCUACCCUGUACACACGGAUAACAUACCGAAAGGUAUGCUAAUACGGGAUAAUAUAUUUGAGAGGCAUCUCUUGAAUAUCAAAGGUGAGCCAGUACAGGAUGG